UUUUCUUUUUAAGGGAAAGAAAGAAACCUAAGAUAGGCUGAUGUCUCUGUGUUGAAUGGUCCGGUUCAAGUUCAUGUCACCUGGGCAGUUCUCCUAUUUACAUAAAAGAAUCAGGUCAUCUCUGGUAACAUUCUUUGAAAAAUAAACCAGAAACAGAGAAAACCAAGAAAAGGGACUGAAAAAGAUAUAGAAAAAGAAACAAAUGCAAAAGCCCCAUGGGAUUAGAGGACCAGAAUAAACUGUUAUGAUUGGCUCCUUUAUAAGAAAUUCAAAAGAAAACCUAAUACUAUGUGUUGUAGCACAGCAUCGUUUUUCUCAGGACAGUCUGGCUACCUCCCUUCCAUCGAAGCACCCCUCGGAGUUUACUGUUCUGAGAAGGGUCUGCCCCACCCUUCGCUAGUGGUCUAAAACACUUAUUUCCAACAGAUAAUGUGGUUUGGCUUGGAUUGCCUCCGGUGGGUGGGGCUUUUUUUUUUUUUUUAAGUUUUCAUAGUUUUUUAUUACUGCAAAACACAUGGCAAGAACAUUUCUCCUGAUUUCCAUAUUCUACAGUUAACAUGCUACCUGGAGCCUGCUACACUCUUCGACACAGGAAUUCUACCCUCUGGAACAAAGGAAAACCUGUACCAGCCUCGGUAAGACAAAGAACAUGAGCAGAGGUUUCAUAAGGUCAUGGACGAGGAUGGGCAGGUGAGAGCCUGGGCAGCCAGUCCACAGCUUGGCCACGGGCCGGAAGACGCGUGGCAUGGGAGCGUUACCCACGGAAGGCAAGUGAUUGACUGGACAGGUUAGAGACUUUUUUUGGGGACGUUGACUAUGAGACGCAGAGAGUCACAGAAGACAAGACGCCAGAGAGACGAGAGUCAAGGAGAGAAAGCAGAAGUCCUGAGGCAGCAGAGUCACAGGGGUGGAGAGAAGAUACAGAAUAGGACACGUCAGCAGGCGGUUGCAAGAGCAAAAUAAACAGAGAAUAGUUGAGUCACCAAAACGGCCAGGACUGAAGCAAGGAGCCACAGAUGCCCUCUCCUGACAUGACCGGGAUGACUGAGGGACUCCCUGAUUCUGCUCUGCCAUGAGGCCUAGCUGUUGUGUCCCAGAACAUCCUUAAUCAACUAGACGACCUCACGUCACCCACCAGCCAGUGGUGUAAAGGAGUCUAACCCAACCCAAUUUGGCUCUAUGAUGAAUUUUAGGAAACAUUUCAAAUAUUUUCUAUAAUACAUGGAAAUGACUUAUUUAAAUGAUCAGUUUUAUCUUUAAUUAGCUUCUCUUCAUCAUGAAAUCUUACCAUACGUGGUUGUGGAAAGUACGAAAUAUGUUUUUAUGCAACUAAGGAGAUGAUUUUUAGCUCUUGGACUAGAGAAAGGUAUAAUUGUAUUUUCUAUCUGCCUUUAUAUAAACUGGAAGUGAUCGAUGCCUGUUAGGAAGUGAGAUGUGGUAGCUAAUGAUUUGAUUACCUAUUUAAUGCUCGCAUUUUGUAGUCGCUAUUGACCUCAGGGUAGCAAGGCUCAAUCUUCCUCCUCUCCUAGAACUCUCUACACUCAUAUAAAUAGUGGUGAAAAGAACCCCGAGUGUUUCAAUAAAAUUACCAAGAUGAGUUCAGUGUCCAUUAUUUAAUAAGAAUCAGCUCUUUUCCUGUCUGGGAUCCUAUUUCGUUCGGUUCAAUAGUGUUAUUGCAGAUCGGCUGUUGCGAGCCAACAGACACGUUUGAAGCGCUGGAUUUUCCAUGUAAUAAGCACUGCUUGAAAUAAGAGUUUCUGCAGGUGGUGGGAGCCAGGACGGGAGGAGUAGGCAGCUUUAAUUUGAGGAUGCCUGUGGACCACUGCCCUCUGCUGGACAGAAGAGGAGGAGCAACAUCCUGUCCUUGAGGGAAAAGACCUACAAAUAUUUUCCAAAUUUUUUGUUCUGGCUUGUCAUGGCUCUGUGGGCCAAACCCCAAGAACGUUUGACAUUAUCCCUCCUUUUGAAAAGCUUACAGAUGGGACAGGGCAAUGAGAUUUCCCAGAAAUGAGAGAUAACUUCACUCCAGGGUCAAAUCAAAGAAACUCAAGAAAACUCUGUACUAUUUCCCUUCUUUGUAUAAUACUUUGGUUGUAGUUAGUUAGAUGCAGAAUAGAAAUAUAUUAAAAAAAAAAAAAAAAAAAGAAAGAAGGAAAGCAAAGAAAAAA
This is a long non-coding RNA of Mustela erminea (ermine), 2168 nucleotides long. RefSeq lists it as uncharacterized. The transcript has 2 exons. The record is from RefSeq and is a predicted model, not a curated record. NCBI's taxonomy places the organism in Eukaryota, Metazoa, Chordata, Mammalia, Carnivora, Mustelidae.